GCUUGGCAGGAGGGAGGCAGGCUUGGAGCCUGUGUCUGGGGGAGCAGGGCCCCAUGUCCCAUGCUGUUGCAUUGAUUAAAUGAGGGCUCCUCCAGGGGACAAUUGCUUCCAUGCCAAGAACUCUGCAGAGCCUUGGAUACUGUACAAAGGCCAGACUGGAGGAGGUCAACAGGAUGGUGAACAGGACUGCUUAGUUUGAGAACUAGAAGCUCCAGGAGCCCCAUGUGCAUUUCUGCAUUCUCCCCCACCCCCGGGACAUCGGACUUCUCAGAGGAGGCUGCUACCCAUGUCACUGCCACUGAGGAGAGCACCUCUGAAGGAGCGCCACCUCCUGGUGCUCCUGUCGCAGCACAACAGGUAGACACACAGCAGCACACAAAUGCUUGUGCUUGCAAGCUUCAAUUCCCUGCCCCUGUGCUC
Long non-coding RNA from Erinaceus europaeus (western European hedgehog), 420 nucleotides. RefSeq lists it as uncharacterized. The record is from RefSeq and is a predicted model, not a curated record. Lineage: Eukaryota; Metazoa; Chordata; Mammalia; Eulipotyphla; Erinaceidae. The transcript is spliced from 3 exons.